GGCUGAAAUUCGCCUUCAUGAAGCCGGAAUUGCUAGUAAUGGCAGGUCAGCAUACUGCCGUGAAUACGUUCCCGGGCCUUGUACACACCGCCCGUCACACCAUGAGAGUUGGGAAUACCCGAAGCCUGUGAGCCGACAAACGAGGCAGCAGUCGAAGGUAGAAUCAAUGAUUGGGGUGAAGUCGUAACAAGGUAAC
Molecule: ribosomal RNA, 196 nt
Filed under: uncultured bacterium
Lineage: Bacteria
Description: partial 16S ribosomal RNA
Rfam family: Bacterial small subunit ribosomal RNA
Source: RNAcentral